Molecule: unclassified non-coding RNA, 252 nt
Filed under: Hevea brasiliensis (rubber tree)
Lineage: Eukaryota; Viridiplantae; Streptophyta; Magnoliopsida; Malpighiales; Euphorbiaceae
Source: RNAcentral
GUUUCCCCUCAAACACCCGUCUCGUUUUGGAUAAUUAGUUCCUUCAUGAUAGUCGCCGCCGUCGCCGCGGCGUCGCCACCUGUUUCCCCGCCAUAUUUGAACUCAAAUCCCGGCUGUUUCCGAGAUCGAAAGCAGCUUCUCUUCAAGUUACAGAAAUGCAAAAGCAUUCAACAUGCUGCUCCAAUUCAUGCGCAUAUAAUAAAAAACGGCAAUCCCAAUGACCCCUUUAUUCUAUUCGAGCUUCUUCGUAUU